This 22-nucleotide non-coding RNA is filed under the name Rattus norvegicus (Norway rat). Lineage: Eukaryota; Metazoa; Chordata; Mammalia; Rodentia; Muridae. The record is from RNAcentral.
UAUCAUGAUGUGCAGCUCUGUU